GCUUUGUUCUUCUGUUAUAAUGACUGACGAUCAUAAUCAGGAAAGGGUAUGCCUGGUGUUAAUGCUUCAUUUUUUCCCUUUUAUUCACAGGCAGUUGGAGUGAUCAAGCUUUCAAAUCCCUGAAAACGUGAGCUGUGCUAUGUCUGGGGCAGGCUCCAUAUUUUUAUUAUGUACCACACAACUCUAAAAGCAAUACAGAAAUUCAGGGCACUUAGAUUGAAAAAUGAACACUUUCCACAUUUAAAGGAGAAAGACUUACAUAUUUUUGGAGUUACAUACAUUCUUCAUCCCAUUUAUGAAAUCCAAAACCCACGGUUGGGCAUAAAGCAGGAGAUUUAAUACUCUUCUGCUGGUGGGUUUUGUUGAUUUUUACUGCCCCCUCCACCCACCCCUACCUUAUCCCACUCCAUCCCCUCUGCUCUUUUUGUUCUUCAUAGUUUUGUGCUAACUUCAGAGCUGCAAAUGUGUCAUUGAUCACAGAUUUAUAUAUAUGAGCUAAGAGCAGGAAUGCUAAAAUAAUUUCUUUCUCAGGCCUUAAAGAUAAAUGAUAGGUCAAGAUGCUUUACUUCAUAGCCAAACAUACUAAGGCACAGAGCAACAUGGCAGGAAUUUGAGUUGUGAGCGCCAGAAGUGCUUGUUCAGCACUAACAAGAAAUAGGAGAAUAGGAUCAGUAUAAUCUCAUAUUCUUAUUAAAUUAAAAAAAGACAGAGAGUAAUGCCAAGGUUAUGACAUGAACUGACAAGACCAAAAAAAAAAUCAGUUUUUCUGAUGCUUCAGCCUUUGCAAGCAUAGGAAAGAAUUAAAAAAAAAAAAAAAAAAAGCCCUGUGGCAUGAGUUAUAGAUGAAGUAUCUGCCUUUAGCUUGGAAUUUCCUGGCAUUUUUCAGCCUGUGACACAGACUUGAUGUGAUUAAACAAAGGCUUUUCUCCAAAUUUAAAGCUCUUAAAAAAAAAAGCUGAAUCUAAUACUCUAACUUGUUUUUAAAUGGGAGCAGAUGCCUCUGUUUCUUGAGCUGACUUCCAGAUUCUGAGAAAUAAAUGAAGAGUGGAGGCUUGUUUUGGUAGAGGCUGAGAAAAGGAGUUGGCCAUAUUUGCCCUUCAGAACUUCGUGUCAUCCCCCAGCUCCCCAACGGCAGGGCCACAUUCUUUCACAGGACGGAGUUGGGGCAGAUUAUGGCUUCCUCUGGAUUGGAUUUCCCUUGGCUUCCCUGAGGGCAAUCCCCCGAGGAAGCACAUCCUGGAGCCAAACUCACCCAAUGAACCACAGCAACAGCUCCUAGGAGAAUGAAGAGUGUGAAUGGAUGGCCUUUUCAAAAUGAUGAGCCUGGAAGAGUUACAGACUCUGGCCCGAAAGAACCAAAGUUGAAGGUAGAGAUGUUUUAAGGAUGAGCAGAGCAGAACAACUUAGCAGUGGGAUGUUAAAGGCAACAUGAAUCAAACAUGGUAAUUAGAAACCAGGAAGACUGAGAAGGAAUCAAAUUUGCAGCAGCUCAGUAAGUGGUAGACUGGGAACAAGAAGCCAGUUCUCUGGGCUCUUGAAGCAAGGCCCUGCCACGUUGUCUUUCCCCAGGAGAGGAGGAAACUGGGGAGGGAAUCAUGUUCCAGCAGUGAAGAACAAAGGCAGUUUUUUGGGGAUUUACAUACGCCAUCUCCUACAAAGUUAAAAAAUUUUCUUUUCCUGAAAGACUACAAUCAAGAUACAAACAUGUACAAUGG
This 1715-nucleotide long non-coding RNA is filed under the name Homo sapiens (human). Its description in RNAcentral is "HSALNT0336360". The record is from RNAcentral. Lineage: Eukaryota; Metazoa; Chordata; Mammalia; Primates; Hominidae.